AUUGAACGCUGGCGGCAGGCCUAACACAUGCAAGUCGAGCGGAGCGGCGGACGGGUGAGUAAUGCCUAGGAAUCUGCCUGGUAGUGGGGGAAAAAGUCCGGAAACGGGCGCUAAUACCGCAUACUAUCAGAUCAGCCUAGGUCGGAUUAGCUAGUUGGUGGGGUAAAGGCCUACCAAGGCGACGAUCCGGAACUGGUCUGAGAGGAUGAUCAGUCACACUGGAAAUGAGACACGUUCCAGACUCCUACGUGAGGCAGCAGUGGGGAAUAUUGGACAAUGGGCGAAAGCCUGAUCCAGCCAGUCCGCGUGUGUGAAGAAGGUCUUCGGAUUGUAAAGCACUUUAAGUUGGGAGGCGUUACCAACAGAGUAAGCACCGGCUAACUUCGUGCCAGCAGCCGCGGUAAUUA
RNAcentral lists this ribosomal RNA (407 nucleotides) under uncultured bacterium. RNAcentral describes it as "partial 16S ribosomal RNA". It matches the Rfam family "Bacterial small subunit ribosomal RNA", at positions 30 to 525 of the family's 1533-position model. The record is from RNAcentral.